CUGGCCGUGCCAGUUCAGUGAUCUCUUGCUGCAGAUGCCAUUCGUCAUGUGACAGUUCUCUCAAACCAAGUUGAUAGUCAAAUAGAAGAAGAGAAUACUGGCUGUGCCAGUCCAGUGAUCUUUUGCUGCAGAUGCCAUUCGUCAUGUGACAGUUCUCUCAAACCAAGUUGAUAGUCAAAUAGAAGAAGAGAAUACUGGCCGUGCCAGUUCAGUGAUCUCUUG
Molecule: long non-coding RNA, 222 nt
Filed under: Daphnia pulicaria
Lineage: Eukaryota; Metazoa; Arthropoda; Branchiopoda; Diplostraca; Daphniidae
Description: uncharacterized LOC124341891
Source: RNAcentral